CUCACCUGUGUCAUCAACAAUGCUAUCUGGCUGUUUUCCCAAUUCUCUGAAGGAGGCAAAAGUUAACCCUCUCCUGAAGAAACCCACCCUCAACCCUUCUGAAGAAAACAACUUCAGACCAGUCUCUCUUCUUCCCUUUUUGUCCAAAACUCUUUAACGUGCGAUCUUUAACCAACUCUCCUCCUAUCUCCAACAUAACAACCUCCUUGACCCCCCCACCAGUCAGGCUUCAAGGCAGGCCAUUCCACAGAGACUGCUCUCCUUGCUGUCUCAGAGCAACUCCACACUGCUAGAGCCGCCUCUCUCUCCUCUGUCCUCCUCUGCAUUUGACACAGUCAACCAUCAGAUCCUUAUUUUCUUCAGGAACUUGGGUGUCUCAGGCUCUGCUCUCUCCCUUCUCUCGUCCUACCUCGACGGCCGCACCUACCGGGUAACCUGGCGAGGAUCUUUGUCGGAACCUUGGGUUUGAAACAGGGUUCGGGCUUGUCGGUUUGAUACAGUGCAAAUACAGAGCAAAUUUACAAUGGAACCUGUGGCAAAAGAGAGGUCGACCCGAGAUGUGGGAGCACUUCAAUUUGAUUUCCUCUAACGAGGUUUGUAAUAGGCAGGCCAAGUCUAAUCAAUGUGUUUUUAUGCCAUUUUUGUCAUUUUGGUUAAGAAUAAUUACUCGUAUAAUAUUUAGUACCACACAAGAAUGAUUUCAUGUUUGAAAUAUCUUUAUUUUUUCCUUGUAACAUUUGUUAAAAUGUGGCUGGGUUGUGGCUUUUGUAACCCCACACCUUUGUGUUGCCUCAAUAAUCGGGGUUUGCAGUUGGGGGCAGCCUUCCAGUCCACUCCUCGUGUGGGGUGUGACAAGCUUCUUUGACAGCUCUUUGAGGAAGAGCCGUUGUGCAUUGGUGAUGCCGCUCUUGAAUUCUGGGUGCUGAGCCGUGAAAAAGGUGUAGGUAUUCAGGGUGGCAAUCUCAAUUAUGUUAUUGCAGGUGUAGGAGCCAACCAUCCUGUCAGUGGUGUCUACACCUCCUUUCGUCUUGAUGUAAAAUGUGAUGUGAUGUCUGGCUUGUUUAGACGUAAAGUCCCCACAAUAGUGAGAUCCUUCUCCAGGAGAUGCUGUGCAAGACGCACACUGGUGAAAAGGUUAUCCAUGGUGAUGUUGCGGCCUGGGUUUCUAAAUCUACUACACAACCGCUGGACAAUGUUGUCCCCCAGAUUCUUCUGAACUUCUUCAAAUGGUUGUCUCCCCAUGUAAACUAUACCAUUUAUUGCAUAGGGGAUGCGUGCAUCACAAACCCAGAAGAUCUUUAGGCCGUACUUGGCGGGCUUGCUUGGCAUGUACUGUAGAAACUUGCAUCUACCCCCGAAUGGCACAAGCUGUUCGUCCACAGUGACACAAUCACUGGGGAUGAAUCGCUGUUCGCAGAUGAUCAGAAAAUGGUCCCAUACAUAGCGAAAGGCUGCCAUGUGGUCUGUUUCCAGACUGAUAAGAAUCACAUUUCCAUUGACCAACUUACUACUUGCGGUAGUAGUACAAAAACUACAAUUUCUUAAAAUGUAUAAAAGGUAAGU
Long non-coding RNA from Gasterosteus aculeatus aculeatus (three-spined stickleback), 1563 nucleotides. The record is from Ensembl. NCBI's taxonomy places the organism in Eukaryota, Metazoa, Chordata, Actinopteri, Perciformes, Gasterosteidae.